GAGUGAGUUUGUGCGUGGGCCCUUUAAGACGCGGAUCUUUUUGGCUUUGGCUGAUAGCUUUUCUGGGGGUGUCCUCACUGCAGUUAAUAGCCAGCAAAGCCAGACAGUAAGACCCUCCUCUCAGUUGGGCUGAGUCUGAAGGAUGCUUAUAGCAGUAUCACCCCCGCUCUGAACCUCACUCCUCUAGGGAGGGCUCCUACCUUAGGGUGUCUCCCACCUGGCCAGCUGAAAAGCUCCACUGCUCCCAAAGGUGGCUUUUUUCCUCUCCUGCCGGAGUUACUGACUCUUCUGCUUUUGUCAGGACUGUCCCUUGUCGUGGGGGUUCUUUUUACCCAGUUUUCAGUUUUCAAUCCAGGGUGAUUCUUCCCGAAAUUGUUGUAACCUUGUUGUGUUCGUGGGAGGAGGCGAGUUCAACGUCUGCUCACAGUGCCAUCUUGACAAGAUCCUGCUUAGUAGUUGAUCCUAACUGCAGAGUAGAUUGAAGUUGAAGGAGGUUCUAAGUUCUCCAAAGUGUCCACUGGGACCCCCAUUGUCAUCCUGGGACCUGAGAUUUAUACCUUUGUGGAAGAUACAUGAGGACAAAUGCAAUAGCACGGGUGAUGUCAGCAACAGUUGGAAGUUGUGAAGCCAUUCGAAUAGUAGUGACCUGCUUAGCCUAUCAGAGAAUGGUAAAUGCCGUCAGUCAGGAAAGUCUAGAAGCAGACCAAUGGUGUCAUCAAAACUCUGAAAGACUUUGGAAAUGAAAGCACAGAUUUGGACUUUUCAACAAGAAUAUUAAGAUCUAGAAGACAAUGGAUUAAUAUUUUAACUACUAACAGUUCAAUGUCUUUCAACCUAAAAAGGUAUACGCUGUCAAACCAUCCAUCAAUUGCAAGGAAAAAGUAGUGACAUUUUUGGGCAUGCAUAUGCUUAAAAUAUUUUCCUUCCAUGUAUCCUUUAUCAGGAAGUUAUUAGAUAAUAUGUCAUAUCAUACAAAAAAAUUACCAAGGAAAAGGAAGACAUGAAAUCAGGGGAUAGCAAGAA
This 1023-nucleotide long non-coding RNA is filed under the name Equus asinus (donkey). RNAcentral describes it as "lncRNA (ENSEASG00005037518.1)". Lineage: Eukaryota; Metazoa; Chordata; Mammalia; Perissodactyla; Equidae. The record is from RNAcentral.